RNAcentral lists this ribosomal RNA (404 nucleotides) under Rhizobium esperanzae. RNAcentral describes it as "bacterial SSU rRNA". It matches the Rfam family "Bacterial small subunit ribosomal RNA", at positions 1130 to 1533 of the family's 1533-position model. Lineage: Bacteria; Pseudomonadati; Pseudomonadota; Alphaproteobacteria; Hyphomicrobiales; Rhizobiaceae. The record is from RNAcentral.
GUUGGGCACUCUAAGGGGACUGCCGGUGAUAAGCCGAGAGGAAGGUGGGGAUGACGUCAAGUCCUCAUGGCCCUUACGGGCUGGGCUACACACGUGCUACAAUGGUGGUGACAGUGGGCAGCGAGCACGCGAGUGUGAGCUAAUCUCCAAAAGCCAUCUCAGUUCGGAUUGCACUCUGCAACUCGAGUGCAUGAAGUUGGAAUCGCUAGUAAUCGCGGAUCAGCAUGCCGCGGUGAAUACGUUCCCGGGCCUUGUACACACCGCCCGUCACACCAUGGGAGUUGGUUUUACCCGAAGGUAGUGCGCUAACCGCAAGGAGGCAGCUAACCACGGUAGGGUCAGCGACUGGGGUGAAGUCGUAACAAGGUAGCCGUAGGGGAACCUGCGGCUGGAUCACCUCCUUU